GACGAACGCUGGCGGCGUGCUUAACACAUGCAAGUCGAACGGAAAGGCCCUGCUUUUGUGGGGUGCUCGAGUGGCGAACGGGUGAGUAACACGUGAGUAACCUGCCCUUGACUUUGGGAUAACUUCAGGAAACUGGGGCUAAUACCGGAUAGGAGCACCUGCUGCAUGGUGGGGGUUGGAAAGUUUCGGCGGUUGGGGAUGGACUCGCGGCUUAUCAGCUUGUUGGUGGGGUAGUGGCUUACCAAGGCUUUGACGGGUAGCCGGCCUGAGAGGGUGACCGGCCACAUUGGGACUGAGAUACGGCCCAGACUCCUACGGGAGGCAGCAGUGGGGAAUAUUGCACAAUGGGCGGAAGCCUGAUGCAGCAACGCCGCGUGCGGGAUGACGGCCUUCGGGUUGUAAUCCGCUUUCGCCUGUGACGAAGCGUGAGUGACGGUAAUGGGUAAAGAAGCACCGGCUAACUACGUG
Molecule: ribosomal RNA, 468 nt
Filed under: uncultured bacterium
Lineage: Bacteria
Description: partial 16S ribosomal RNA
Rfam family: Bacterial small subunit ribosomal RNA
Source: RNAcentral